GCAAGACGGCACAUCCGAAGGCACUUGCCUCCCCACCCCCUCCCCGCUCUCUCUCUUUGCGCAGUGCGUUCGGCUCAUCCUUACGCACGCAGGCGACACGGAGUUCUUCGUCUUUGUUUUUCUGUUUCUCCUCGCAGGUCGUAGUGGUUAUGUGGGCGAAUGGAAGAGCAGGAGCUUAGCAAGGUCAUCAUCACUGAGGCGGCGCGGUGCUCGCAAGGUCGUCUGGACAGCGAGACCACCGCUCAGCUUGCGCGCUUCCUCAGUGAUGCGAAGGGGCGAAACCGCGUCUAUCAGUGCUGCCUAGACCUCGCACAAGACCCGGGACGGCGGCCGCGCAUCAUGAUGUUGCUGGUAAACUACGUCCAGAGCUUCCCACCGUCUCGCCAAUGCCUCGAGAGCAUUAAGGGUUUCUGUAAGGCUCACUCCUCCGGCGACGUCAGCCAAGAUCUGCUGAAACUGGUGGGCGCACUGCUGCGGGAGGCGCCGUUGGAGGGUCUGUCCAGCUCGAUUGUGCGGUCUUCACGACAAGGCUAUGCCUCGGAGUUCGCGCUGCUGGCCGACUUCUCUGCUCCGUCGCCGGGGGGUGGCGGCGGUGGCAGCGUUUCCAUCUCCACUGUGCCUUACAUGAAGUGGAUGGGCGUCUCCGUGAAGAAGAACGAGGGAGUGAAGUGCUACAGCGAGGUCAUGUACCAACGCGUGUGGUGCCCCCCGUACGUAGAUCAGUUCCCGCUGCUGUGCCUCGAAUCUACCGUGGAACGGCAAGCCAAUAUCAUGUCGACCUUUUCAGCCAACUACAAGACGAACCCAAACGUGAUGCAGGCUACCCUCUUCUUUAUGAAGCAGCUCUGUGACGGCUAUGUGUCUAAGCUGGUUCUCUCUGAGCCGCAGCUGCACUUCCGGUCUGUGACCAUCUGCUAUCUGCCCAUGCUGCUCGAGAUGAUGGAGAGCGACUACCUGUGCGUGCGCAACCACGUCUACGACUUCAUCUUCAACCUUGGUGUGCAUGUGCAGCUCAUCGACCCCUCUGGCGUCUACCCCGGGUGCACGGAGGCGCUCGAGCAAGAGGUGGUGUGGAUGGUGCUUACCGUGACGGAGCGGCAGGCGGUGCUGAAGAUUUGCGACGAGACGACGUGGACGGCAGCAGCCAAGUGCCUGCUGGCGGUGGUGCCGCCGUGCUAUCGGCACCUAGCUGAUUGUCGGGUGCUCUUUCAAGUGCUGCAGCUGCCGGGGCUGUGGGAGCUGCACCCCGAGGCCUUCACCGCCCUGGCGCAAGCGUUCGCGCGGAGUCUCUUAUCGAACAAAGAUGUAGACGUGGCCGCCGCUGACAACCUCGUCGUCGACGAGGUCGCCUUUGCCAAGCUGGGCAGUUCUGCGAUGUCUGACAUUCUUACCAUCUACCGACACUGCACCACUCCAGGCGCGCGCAAGGCUCUCUUCCAGCUUCUGGUGGCGUGCGCGGCCCGCCGGCAAGGGGCGAACGGUGCCCGCAGCGGUGUGCGCAUGUCUGGACAGCUGUCCCCCGAGGCCCGCGCAGGCGCCUUCAGGGAUUUGAUGUCAGUGGACUUUUUCUGGUAUGUUUUCCCGCUGCUGUACUACAUGUCCGAAACGGUGCAGCGGGAGCUUCCGCGACGCAUCGCCGACGGCCUCGUUAAGUCUGACUUCGAUGGCACCAAGAAGAGCUGGAACGUUGUGCUGCCGCUGGUGGAGAACAUGCUCGGGCUGCUCGCUGAGGAUGCCGAGCUGGAGAGCUACACGCAGGCGCGUUUCAAGGGUGUUGAGGUUCUGCGGCGCAGGGAUGAGACGGCGUUUUUGGAAGCCCUUCAGGUGCUUCUGGGUGAGGUAGCUGGGACCUUGCCGCUGCUGCUGGAAGGGCAACGAGAGGCGAGUGACACCAAGAUGUGCACUGCCGCCUGGCGGCUCGCCUUUGUCAGCCUCCGCUGGAGCGCGCGGUACUUGCCAGACGACGCUCACCGCGCCCUGACGGAUAAGCUGGUGCGCAACCUGGUCUUCUACAAAGACGGCCGUGGCCACAUCGGAAACCGCGCACGAGUGGGCCACAUGUGCGCCUCCCUUCUCUUUUCCCUGAAUCUGCUGUGCCGUACGUCUUCGCAGUGCGACGCCGUCACGUUCCGCACCGUCCUGGAGGUGGUUCUCUUCGACCGCGGUGAUGCCAUGGAUACCCGGACUGCCAUGGCUCUCUACCAUCACCUUAUCGAGUAUCUAUGCGUGCCGACGCGGUCAUCUUUCUACUUGAACACCGCCAACGACGUCAGCGACAUAUCGGCCAUGAUCAUUCGCGAGCGAGCGAUGUGCAUCAGCUCUGCUGCUGUUCAGCUCGUUGGGCUUCGCGUGCUGUGGGGCAUGUAUCGUAGCCUCGAUCAGAGUCAAGCCGCCGCGGUGUGCCGCGCGCGGCAUGUGCUGGUUCUCCUCCUGUGCCAUCAGAGCACCGACCGCCGGGGAGUAGAGGUGCGCACGUGGAGGACGGUCCUCACAGACUCUUACCCGCCCGUUGCGCUGCUCGCGGCCGAGAAGAUCAUGCACAUCUGCAAGGCGGAAGAGAAGCCGAGCACCGCCACAGAGAUCAACAGUGAAGCUUUUCGUGACGUGUACCACGACGCGAUGCGCAUCCUGGAAAAGGGGGAGAGGAAGCGCAUCUACUAGUUGUCUGCUGUUAGUUGAGAGCCAGAUGGAAUGCGGAAAGCUUUACCACCUGUAUUUAUGUGCGUGUGUGUGUGUGCCGCUUCCUGAGUAGCUCGCUGUAUGCAUGUGUGGUCUCUUGCUUCGUUUCUUUACUGCAGCAGC
This 2802-nucleotide unclassified non-coding RNA is filed under the name Leishmania donovani. RNAcentral describes it as "gene:LdHU3.03.0060(CDS-product:hypothetical_prote in_conserved)". Lineage: Eukaryota; Euglenozoa; Kinetoplastea; Trypanosomatida; Trypanosomatidae. The record is from RNAcentral.